GCCAAUUCCAAAGAUGUUUCAGGAACCUAGUUUGUGCUUAGGGGCAGCAUUUUGGUAAUUAGAACGCCUGUUCUACACAAGUGGAACUUAUUAGGGGGAGUACUUUCAGCGGUUUAAGCAGGUCCCUGAAGUCUGGCCCCACCCUCAGCCUGAGUCAGAUACAGCCGCUCCUGAAAACAGGCUGGCAUCAAGGUCUUCAGCUCAAGAGGCACUAUACCUGAAGAACUUCAUCUGACAUGAAUCUGAUAUAGAUCAUGAGAUUCUGGGCCUUGAGCCUGAGCCUAACUCUGUAAUGAAAGAAGAUUUUUGAGGAGCGAAGAGAUGUAUGAUAGAAUAGUCACAGGUGAAAUAUUCAAGAUACAAGUUGUUUUCUGCAAUAUAUUCUCCUUUCUUCUGCCAUCUGUGUUGCCUUGGAGAAGUCAACUCUCAGUCUAACUGAGGUUCUUUUGUAAGCAAUAUUGAUUUUUUUUCUCUCAUUGUUUUUGAUACAACAAGAUAUUCUCAUUGACUUUAAUAUAAUAAAGUUUCUCUACAAUUAGUCCUGCUUAGAAUA
This 553-nucleotide long non-coding RNA is filed under the name Equus caballus (horse). RNAcentral describes it as "lncRNA (ENSECAG00000050603.1)". The record is from RNAcentral. Lineage: Eukaryota; Metazoa; Chordata; Mammalia; Perissodactyla; Equidae.